This is a long non-coding RNA of Myiozetetes cayanensis, 1649 nucleotides long. RefSeq lists it as uncharacterized. The record is from RefSeq and is a predicted model, not a curated record. NCBI's taxonomy places the organism in Eukaryota, Metazoa, Chordata, Aves, Passeriformes, Tyrannidae. The transcript has 3 exons.
CAAUUUUCUUUUUCAUCUUACAGGUUGAUACAGUGAAUUAUCUUCAAGUGAAAAUGAGAGGAAAAUCAUCAGUACUCACUAAAACUCAUCUAGUAGGAGUUAAAUGAUUUUUAUUACAUUAUAGCUCCUCUGAACUUCCCUGCAGUGAGGAGCACAUCUACUUGCCUUUGUUUUUUUUAAUUCUGCUGGUUUUUAGUAUACGAUUAAAAGUACUUAACAUUUUUAAUAUUCAUCAUUUCAAGGUACCUUUUACCUUUCUGGCAGACAUAGCUCUUUAGAGCAGUGGGGGAAAAGAGAGACUCCAGGAGCCAGAGUGGAGAUUCCCCUGCAGCCUGUGACUUCUACGUAGUGUCUUGACUGUCAGUUAUGAAAGAAGAUGAUAUAUGAGCCAGAACUACUGUAUCUUGUGGUUAACCUCCGUGUCCCUGACUUGGCAUGACAUACUGGAGUGAGAUUGGACUGGAAAAGGAUUUCACUCUGAAAAUGCUUUGUUAAGGAAAGAAGGCAAAGAAUCAGAGGGGAAGCUUUGAAUUGGCGCAGCGAGGGAGAUCAUUGUCCGUCCAGCCCAGUGGCUUGUGCCCAGCAAUACCCACUAGCAGAUUCUAGCCAAAGAAUGGAACACCAGAGUAAAUCAGAGAAGCCCUUCCCCCUUCAGCUUCCAGCAGUAAGCAGAUUAAUGACUUUAUUAGCCAGCAGCCACAUCAAACCACUGUAUUUGGUGGCUGUGAAUUGAUAUCUCUUGCAUGGACUUCUCUUCUUAUGAAUUCAUUUAUACUUUGAGUCUCUUGUGAAUUUCACUAUUUAAUCACAUUUUGCGUGGAGAAUGUAAUUCCUUCUGAUGACUUUGAAUUGCUGACUGUGACUGUGGUAGUAUCACAAUUUUCCUGUUCUGUGCUACGAAAAAUAAGAAAUAAUUGUUCCAUGUUUGAUUUUGUGUAUGUGGGCUGUACUAUCCUAGGCAUCUGUUCAAUUCCUCCAUAAUAGCUUUUUUCCCCUCUUCCAAAGCUGAAGAAAUUAAAUUUGUUUACUCAUUUCUGAAUACAGAAACUAUUCUUUAUAGAAUCACAGGACCAGAGAAUGAUUUAGGUUGGAAGGGACCUUAAAGAUCAUCUCGUUCCAACCUUUUGCUGUGGACAAGGACAAUCUUCCUCUAGACCAGAUUGCUCAGAGCUCCAUCCAUCCUGGCUUUGAACACUUCCAGGGAUGAGGCAUCCAUAGCUUUUCUGGGCAGGCUGUUCCAGGGCCUCACCACCCUCACAAGGAAGGAUUUAUUCCUGAUAUCUAACCUAAAUUUUUCCUCCUUCAGUUUGAAAGAGGGGAAGUUUGUCUGUCCAGACUGUUUCUCUUACCCACCUCUCUUUUCCCCAUUUUCAUUUUGGCCUGUUUUGGGAGGUAAUGACCUUAACUAUGUGCAGUAUUGAUGUCAGGGAAUGUUGUACUCCAUGGAUUCUGACGUUAAUAGUGUCAGCAUUUCUUUUUCCUUUGUCGUCAGUCACUGAUAGCUCUUCACAUCUUACAGUCCUCAAGCUCAGCUGAGCACUUACUGCACUAAACAGGAUGAGAAACUAUAUUUUUCCUUUUUUUUUUUUUUUUUCCUAUUUCAAACAUAAAUCUCUUCUGAUACCAUCUAAUUUGAUGGGAUUUUGGUA